GACGAACGCUGGCGGCGUGCUUAACACAUGCAAGUCGAACGGAAAGGCCCUGCUUUUGUGGGGUGCUCGAGUGGCGAACGGGUGAGUAAUACGUGAGUAACCUGCCCAUGACUUUGGGAUAACUUCAGGAAACUGGGGCUAAUACCGGAUAGGAGCUCCUGCUGCAUGGUGGGGGUUGGAAAGUUUCGGCGGUUGGGGAUGGACUCGCGGCUUAUCAGCUUGUUGGUGGGGUAGUGGCUUACCAAGGCUUUGACGGGUAGCCGGCCUGAGAGGGUGACCGGCCACAUUGGGACUGAGAUACGGCCCAGACUCCUACGGGAGGCAGCAGUGGGGAAUAUUGCACAAUGGGCGGAAGCCUGAUGCAGCAACGCCGCGUGCGGGAUGACGGCCUUCGGGUUGUAAACCGCUUUCGCCUGUGACGAAGCGUGAGUGACGGUAAUGGGUAAAGAAGCACCGGCUAACUACGUG
RNAcentral lists this ribosomal RNA (468 nucleotides) under uncultured bacterium. RNAcentral's name for it is "partial 16S ribosomal RNA". It matches the Rfam family "Bacterial small subunit ribosomal RNA", at positions 28 to 507 of the family's 1533-position model. The record is from RNAcentral.